This 638-nucleotide long non-coding RNA is filed under the name Monodelphis domestica (gray short-tailed opossum). RNAcentral's name for it is "lncRNA (ENSMODG00000042952.1)". Lineage: Eukaryota; Metazoa; Chordata; Mammalia; Didelphimorphia; Didelphidae. The record is from RNAcentral.
CCAACUUUGACACAAAGGGAGACUCUACCAGGACAAAAAAAAAAAGACACCUUCUAGUUCCAUCUAAAAUACUUUAAGGUUUAAUGUUAGUUCUGAAACUUGAGAAUUAGGGACUUUCCUCCAGGAUAAAUUCUCAUGUGACAAGGUCAAACUUGGGGUCUUCAACUUUCAGGCUAACUAAACUUGGGGUUCUCUUACUAUGUUCUAUAUUGACAAAGGUAAUUGUGAGGAUCAGAUGAGAUAUUUGUAACUUAAAAGUAUUAUAUAAAGGCUCACUAUUAUUUUUAUAGCUGGUAAAGGGAAGAUCAAAGAAGAUCUCAUAGAAGAGGUAGCAUCUGAGAUAUGCCUUAAAGAAUGAUAAGGGUUAUGAGAGCUGGAAGCCAGAAGACUCAGAUCUCUCUUCUCCCAAGCUCUUACCAACUUCAUCUGUCCUGAAGGCACAAAGCAUUGAACAUCUCCAACUGAUGUUCAAUUCUUUACCUGCUGUUAUCUUCUUGACAUGCAAUCCAAGGUGUCUUCUCCUCAACUUUUAUGGCAGUGGGUGCUGUUAAUAAAAUUUGAUAAGGACCAUCCCAAACUGGACGUGUUUCAUUUAUUCUGCUAAAAUUUUAUAUAUAUAUAUAUUUUUUUAUAUAUAU